UGGGGCAUUGGACUUUUUCCUUUCUAUUUGUUUCUUUUAUUUGUUGUUUUGACCAUUUUGAAUUGUCUCUGUUUGUAUGGUUAUAGUGGUCAUUGGAUUUAGUUCAAGAAUGGCUGGAAGAAAAUGUGUCAAGAUGAUGACGACGACUCCGGAUUCGAGUAUAAGCAGAAUUGCUACAUAUCAGCCAUUUGACGGGUUGUUGGAGUUGAAAGUGAAACUGAUUGUCUACAGGUGAUAUGGGGAGAAGUCAACAAGUUUUUAGAUGAAGCUGUAAGAGGAAAUUAUGGACUUUUCAACCAGUCUUUGGUGUUAAAAUGGGUAUUCUACAAGUCUGUGUUACAAGUGAUUUUGGGUAUUGCUAUAUUGACACUGUGUGUAGAUCCAAUCAUGGAUAACAUUAUACGACUAGCGCAGGCAAUUGGAGUGCCUUCUUUCUUCCUACCAUUUGCCAUAGUAGCUCUUGCUAUCAAUGCAAGAACUACAAUAACAACAAUAACUUUAUUGUCUUCAGCAAAACAAUAGAGUUCCACAACUUUAUCUUUUGCUGAAGUAUUGGUAUCUAUGGUGAUCUUUGUUGUAAUUGGCACUUUUGCUUUCAUCUCUACCACUUAUCCACUUUAGACUUGUAUUGUAGCUUUCUUGUUUUAUCCUAUAGCACUUGUACAUUGUUUUAUUCAAGACAAUCGUUGUAAAUUAUCUUAGAUAUUCAAUUAUGAUAAUGUAAUUGUGUGGUUGGAGUGAAUCUUAGAACAUUGAAGGUUUUAUGUUUAAAUUUAAUUUUGGAGUUUGAAGAUACUAGUUAAUGUUGAAAAUUUGGAGUUUGAAGAUGUUAAUGUUGAAAA
Molecule: long non-coding RNA, 842 nt
Organism: Capsicum annuum
Lineage: Eukaryota; Viridiplantae; Streptophyta; Magnoliopsida; Solanales; Solanaceae
Exons: 2
Source: RefSeq, a predicted model, not a curated record